RNAcentral lists this ribosomal RNA (492 nucleotides) under uncultured bacterium. RNAcentral describes it as "partial 16S ribosomal RNA". It matches the Rfam family "Bacterial small subunit ribosomal RNA", at positions 29 to 507 of the family's 1533-position model. The record is from RNAcentral.
AGUGAACGCUGGCGGUAGGCCUAACACAUGCAAGUCGAACGGCAGCACAGUAAGAGCUUGCUCUUACGGGUGGCGAGUGGCGGACGGGUGAGGAAUACAUCGGAAUCUACUUUUUCGUGGGGGAUAACGUAGGGAAACUUACGCUAAUACCGCAUACGACCUACGGGUGAAAGCAGGGGAUCUUCGGACCUUGCGCGAUUGAAUGAGCCGAUGUCGGAUUAGCUAGUUGGCGGGGUAAAGGACCACCAAGGCGACGAUCCGUAGCUGGUCUGAGAGGAUGAUCAGCCACACUGGAACUGAGACACGGUCCAGACUCCUACGGGAGGCAGCAGUGGGGAAUAUUGGACAAAGGGCGCAAGCCUGAUCCAGCCAUACCGCGUGGGUGAAGAAGGCCUUCGGGUUGUAAAGCCCUUUUGUUGGGAAAGAAAAGCAGCAGGUUAAUACCCCGCUGUUCUGACGGUACCCAAAGAAUAAGCACCGGCUAACUUCGUG